RNAcentral lists this transfer RNA (68 nucleotides) under Marmota monax (woodchuck). RNAcentral's name for it is "tRNA.Ala". The record is from RNAcentral. Lineage: Eukaryota; Metazoa; Chordata; Mammalia; Rodentia; Sciuridae.
GUUGUGGCUCAGCGGUAGAGCACUCGCCAGGCAUGUGUAAGGUCCUGGGUUGGAUCCUCAGCACCACA